AAUGAACGCUGGCGGCGCGCCUAAUACAUGCAAGUCGAGCGAGAAGACGUAGCAAUACGUUUGUAAAGCGGCGAACGGGUGAGGAAUACAUGGGUAACCUACCCUCGAGUGGGGAAUAACUAGCCGAAAGGUUAGCUAAUACCGCGUACGCUUCUUGGACUUCGGUUCAGGGAGGAAAGCGAUGCCGAGGGUAUCGCGCUCUUGGAUGGGCUCAUGUCCUAUCAGCUUGUUGGGAGGUAACGGCUCACCAAGGCUUCGACGGGUAGCUGGUCUGAGAGGACGAUCAGCCACACUGGCACUGCGACACGGGCCAGACUCCUACGGGAGGCAGCAGUAAGGAAUAUUGCGCAAUGGGCGAAAGCCUGACGCAGCGACGCCGCGUGGGGGAGUGAAGGCC
This 397-nucleotide ribosomal RNA is filed under the name uncultured bacterium. RNAcentral's name for it is "bacterial SSU rRNA". It matches the Rfam family "Bacterial small subunit ribosomal RNA", at positions 29 to 416 of the family's 1533-position model. The record is from RNAcentral.